Molecule: long non-coding RNA, 735 nt
Filed under: Androctonus crassicauda
Lineage: Eukaryota; Metazoa; Arthropoda; Arachnida; Scorpiones; Buthidae
Source: RNAcentral
GUCCCUUUGCGGAGUACAUUGGUAAUCGUAGCAGACGUGUGCUUGGCAGAUUUUUCGGAGGAAUUGUUCAAGAAAGGCUCAUUCUGCACUGUAGUUAAAAAAAUUGUCUCCAGUUGACGAGAUACCGAUAGUAGAGGAUGUAAUAAUUUCUGCUGCCGAUAAUGAGCUUGAUAGGCAAAGAUGUCGAUGGAGAUAUAUUCGAGAAGUAGUAACUCACCGAAAUUCUACCAAGCCUACCAAUGACUAUAGAAUUAGCUAUUUGGUGAGAAAAACUGAACAAUGGCUAAAAGACAAUGAAUAUAUUAUCACCAGAGGUGAUAAAUCAAAACGAAUGGUUUUAAUGGAGAAGUAAGCGUACGAUACCUAUCUUCUGGACUAUAUAGUGUCAACACAACUUAGAGUUUUGAAGAAAAUACCUAACCUUUCAGUUCAAGGCCUCCUUAGACAAAUUAACUUCUAACAGACUCUUUCCCCAAGAAUGGAAGCAUGCGAAAAUACAAGCACCAAUGUGCCCUCGGCUAUUCGCAUAUAUGAAGACACACAAACAGCCGGUUAAGCCUCGACCCAUAGUUGGAAAAAGAAGUGCUCCUACUUUUAAUUUAGAGAAAGCUAUAGCCCGUUGGUGUUUGACUAUAUUGGGUCAGAAUGAGAAUUCCACCACCGUUACAGACGAAGCCUUGAAUAGGAUUAGAAUGAUAACAUGGCAACCCCACUAUAUUAUGGCUGUGUUUGACU